RNAcentral lists this ribosomal RNA (433 nucleotides) under uncultured bacterium. Its description in RNAcentral is "partial 16S ribosomal RNA". It matches the Rfam family "Bacterial small subunit ribosomal RNA", at positions 29 to 507 of the family's 1533-position model. The record is from RNAcentral.
AACGAACGCUGGCGGCAUGCCUAACAUAUGCAAGUCGAACGAGACCUUCGGGUCUAGUGGCGCACGGGUGCGUAACGCGUGGGAACCUGCCCUUAGGUUCGGAAUAACUCCCCGAAAGGGGUGCUAAUACCGGAUAAUGUCUUCGGACCAAAGAUUUAUCGCCUUUGGAUGGGCCCGCGUUGGAUUAGCUAGUUGGUAGGGUAAAAGGCUACCAAGGCGACGAUCCAUAGCUGGUCUGAGAGGAUGAUCAGCCACACUGGGACUGAGACACGGCCCAGACUCCUACGGGAGGCAGCAGUGGGGAAUAUUGGACAAUGGGCGAAAGCCUGAUCCAGCAAUGCCGCGUGAGUGAUGAAGGCCUUAGGGUUGUAAAGCUCUUUUACCCGGGAUGAUAAUGACAGUACCGGGAGAAUAAGCUCCGGCUAACUCCGUG